RNAcentral lists this ribosomal RNA (873 nucleotides) under uncultured fungus. Its description in RNAcentral is "bacterial SSU rRNA". It matches the Rfam family "Eukaryotic small subunit ribosomal RNA", at positions 564 to 1440 of the family's 1831-position model. The record is from RNAcentral. Lineage: Eukaryota; Fungi.
GUGCCAGCAGCCGCGGUAAUUCAGAAAGAAAUAGCGUAUAUUAAAGUUGUUGUGGUUGAAAAGAAAAGGAAAUGAACCUUGGGCCUGGCUGGCCGGUCCGCCUCACCGCGUGCACUGGUCCGGCCGGGCCUUUCCCUCUGUGGAACCCCAUACCCUUCACUGGGCGUGGCGGGGAAACAGGACAUUUACUUUGAAAAAAUUAGAGUGCUCCAGGCAGGCCUAUGCUCGAAUACAUUAGCAUGGAAUAAUAAAAUAGGACGCGCGGUUCUAUUUUGUUGGUUUAUAGGACCGCCGUAAUGAUUAAUAGGGACAGUCGGGGGCAUCAGUAUUCAACUGUCAGAGGUGAAAUUCUUGGAUCAGUUGAAGACUAACUACUGCGGAAAGCAUUUUGCCAAGGAUGUUUUUCAUUAAUCAGGAACGAAAGUUUAGGGGAUCGAAGACGAUCAGAUACCGCCGUAGUCUUAACCAUAAACUAUGCCGGACUAGGGAUCGGACGGGGUUAUUUCAUGACCCCGUUUCGGCACCUUACGAGAAAUCAAAGUGCUUUGGCUCCAGGGGGGAGUAUUGGUCGCAAGGCUGAAACUUAAAAGAAAAUUGGACGGAAGGGCACCCACCAGGGUGGGGGCCUGCGGCUUAAAUUUGACUUCACCACGGGGAACUUCACCAGGUUCAGACACAAAUAAGGAUUGAUAAAUUGGAACGCCUUUCUUGAUUUUUUGGGUGGGGUGCCUGGCCGGUCCUUAGUUGGGGGGGUGACUUUUCCUGCCUAAAUUCGAAUACGAACUAAAACCCUAUCCCUGCCAAAUAGGCCGCCAUUGGGCGCCGGAGGUCGCUCGGGCUUCUUAAAGGGAGCUCUCCGCCUCCUGCCGCAAG